Long non-coding RNA from Astatotilapia calliptera (eastern happy), 1222 nucleotides. NCBI's taxonomy places the organism in Eukaryota, Metazoa, Chordata, Actinopteri, Cichliformes, Cichlidae. The record is from Ensembl.
UUAAUAAAUAUGCUUUGUCAAAAGUGUGCUCCAAAUGGCAGUGUUACAGUGAAGAAUUUGAAACGCUGUCAUUUUGUAAGCAAUGGAGACAAUAAAUCAAGAAGCAAUCUCAUCCAUUUAAUGGCCCUUCUACAGUGACAAAAGUAAAGUGAAAACAUGGGUGAAAAAUUUCUGGAUGAGGAGAAGAAAGCAUUAUGUGCUGAGAAAGCCUUUGAAAGGCACUCAAGGUGAAAUAAUCUUGAUUUUUUUUUCCCCCUCUUCUCUCCAGCUAUGUCUCUUCUUUAAUUUUUCUUCAAUUGGUGAACUUUUGUUUUAUACCCAAGGAUUUCUUCAGAAGUUUGUGUCUGCAUUUAUCUUUUUGUUCUGCUAUCUUUUUCAUCUGGCCACUUUUUCUUUUUUUUGUUCGUUCUCUUGUUGUCAUGAUCCUGGGCCAUGUUGGCCCAGCAUCUUUAUUUAGGCCUUGUGACUUUUACCCCCUCGUCUCCCCUCCGUGGGUCAGUCAUAAACUGACUGACCCACUCAGUCUUUAGAUCUUCCCGUAGCUAAACAAAUGAAUCAAUGUGUCUUGGCAUAUAUUUAAGUUGAAUACUAAUAUAUUACUCAUUAUUGUCAACACAUGACUAAAGACUCCAGCUGAGCAAGUACUACUGGGGAUGAAUGGAAAAAAAAAAAAAAAUCACUUUUUAAAAAAGUCCCGACUAAAGAAAGAUGUGUGAGCAAAACAUCACACUGUGACAAAACCGCAGCUAGUUUGCUUGGUGGGUGUGUGUGCAUGUGUGCAUGUAUUGACCCAGUGCAGCUGUGCAGCUUGGGAUCUUUGCCAAACCUCUAACAGACAAUUACCCGUGUGUGUGUGUGUGUGUGUGUGUGUGUGUGUGUGUGUGUGUGUGUGUGUGUGUGUGUGUGUCGUCAGUAUGCGUCACGCCUGCCCUGUCUCGUUACGAUUAUCUGUGUCAGCUGUGUUCCCCGUGUGCUCCCACUUCCCUCGUUGACCCUCUGUGUAUUUAUGUCCGCGUCUCCCUCAUGACCGUAUGCCCCUGCAUGUGUUUCCUCGCGAGUAAGUUCCUUUAGAACGUCCCAGUUUGGUUUCAUAUUAUUUUGUAUCGCCUUUAUCUUCUGUCAGCAAUAAAGCUGUAUUUUGAGUUCAGUCCUGUUUUCCCAUGAGUUUGCGUUUGGGUCCUCAUCCUGCCUGCACACAGUCUAAUCAUGACACUUGUCCUUU